GGACUACUGGGGUAUCUAAUCCCGUUCGCUCCCCUAGCUUUCGCGCCUCAGCGUCAGAAAAGGUCCAGGACGUCGCUUUCGCCACCGGCGUUCCUUCCGAUAUCAACGCAUUUCACCGCUCCACCGGAAGUUCCACAUCCCCCUACCCCCCUCGAGACGGCCAGUAUCCAAGGCACUUUUCCGGUUGAGCCGAAAGAUUUCACCCCGGACUUGGCCGCCCGCCUACGCGCCCUUUAAGCCCAGUGAUUCCGAACAACGUUCGCACGGUUCGUCUUACCGCGGCUGCUGGCAC
This 292-nucleotide ribosomal RNA is filed under the name uncultured Planctomycetota bacterium. RNAcentral's name for it is "uncultured planctomycete partial 16S ribosomal RNA". The record is from RNAcentral. Lineage: Bacteria; Pseudomonadati; Planctomycetota.